RNAcentral lists this ribosomal RNA (200 nucleotides) under uncultured bacterium. Its description in RNAcentral is "partial 16S ribosomal RNA". It matches the Rfam family "Bacterial small subunit ribosomal RNA", at positions 30 to 229 of the family's 1533-position model. The record is from RNAcentral.
AUUGAACGCUGGCGGCAGGCCUAACACAUGCAAGUCGAGCGGUAGAGAGGUGCUUGCACCUCUUGAGAGCGGCGGACGGGUGAGUAAAGCCUAGGAAUCUGCCUGGUAGUGGGGGAUAACGCUCGGAAACGGACGCUAAUACCGCAUACGUCCUACGGGAGAAAGCAGGGGGACCUUCGGGCCUUGCGCUAUCAGAUGAG